AGAGCGAACGCUGGCGGCAGGCUUAACACAUGCAAGUCGAGCGCUCGUAGCAAUACGAGAGCGGCAGACGGGAGAGUAACACGUGGGAACGUACCCUUUGGUUCGGAACAACACAGGGAAACUUGUGCUAAUACCGGAUAAGCCCUUACGGGGAAAGAUUUAUCGCCAAAGGAUCGGCCCGCGUCUGAUUAGCUAGUUGGUGGGGUAACGGCUCACCAAGGCGACGAUCAGUAGCUGGUCUGAGAGGAUGACCAGCCUCAUUGGGACUGAGACACGGCCCAAACUCCUACGGGAGGCAGCAGUGGGGAAUAUUGGACAAUGGGCGCAAGCCUGAUCCAGCCAUGCCGCGUGGAUGAUGAAGGCCUUAGGGUUGUAAAGUCCUUUUAACGGGGAAGAUAAUGACGGUACCCGUAGAAUAAGCCCGGCUAACUUCGUGCCAGCAGCCGC
RNAcentral lists this ribosomal RNA (447 nucleotides) under uncultured bacterium. RNAcentral's name for it is "SSU rRNA". It matches the Rfam family "Bacterial small subunit ribosomal RNA", at positions 26 to 518 of the family's 1533-position model. The record is from RNAcentral.